RNAcentral lists this transfer RNA (83 nucleotides) under Canis lupus dingo (dingo). It matches the Rfam family "tRNA". From Rfam's summary of the family: Transfer RNA (tRNA) molecules are approximately 80 nucleotides in length. Their secondary structure includes four short double-helical elements and three loops (D, anti-codon, and T loops). Further hydrogen bonds mediate the characteristic L-shaped molecular structure. tRNAs have two regions of fundamental functional importance: the anti-codon, which is responsible for specific mRNA codon recognition, and the 3' end, to which the tRNAs corresponding amino acid is attached (by aminoacyl-tRNA synthetases). tRNAs cope with the degeneracy of the genetic code in two manners: having more than one tRNA (with a specific anti-codon) for a particular amino acid; and 'wobble' base-pairing, i.e. permitting non-standard base-pairing at the 3rd anti-codon position. Lineage: Eukaryota; Metazoa; Chordata; Mammalia; Carnivora; Canidae. The record is from Rfam by way of RNAcentral.
GCCCAGUUGGCUCAGUGGUUGAGUGUCUGCCUUCUGCUCAGGGCUUGAUCCCAGGAUCCCGGGAUCGAGUCCUGCAUUGGGCU